RNAcentral lists this long non-coding RNA (354 nucleotides) under Ananas comosus (pineapple). Its description in RNAcentral is "long non-coding RNA (ACOM_LNC008320)". Lineage: Eukaryota; Viridiplantae; Streptophyta; Magnoliopsida; Poales; Bromeliaceae. The record is from RNAcentral.
UAUUAAAUUCAUCAAGCGGGCAUAAAAUAAAGGCCAAAAUUGAACAACCUUCUAAAAAUAGAUGAUUAGAUUCUUCAAUUCAAAAAUCCAACUAAUUUCGAUUUUUUUUACACAGUUAAAUUAGUAAGUAUUUCAUACCGGCUGUUAAAAAUUAUUAAUUUGAAAAUCUUUUGAUCGUAAGGUAAAAGACACCGAAAAAUUAUGAAAUUUAAUUUUUAGAAAUUUUAAAUACUCUAAAUCAUGUUUAACAAGAUGAAUCAUGGACUCAUAAAUUUUAUCAUCGAAAAUAAUUUAUAAGUACGACUUAUAAAUAAGAAGAGGGUGUGUGUGUGUUGCUCUAAAUCAAUUUAAUGA